AGCGAACGCUGGCGGUAGGCCUAACACAUGCAAGUCGAACGGAUCCUUCGGGAUUAGUGGCGGACGGGUGAGUAACACGUGGGAACGUGCCCUUUGGUUCGGAACAACUCAGGGAAACUUGAGCUAAUACCGGAUGUGCCCUUCGGGGGAAAGAUUUAUCGCCAUUGGAGCGGCCCGCGUCUGAUUAGCUAGUUGGUGAGGUAACGGCCCACCAAGGCGACGAUCAGUAGCUGGUCUGAGAGGAUGAUCAGCCACACUGGGACUGAGACACGGCCCAGACUCCUACGGGAGGCAGCAGUGGGGAAUCUUGCGCAAUGGGCGAAAGCCUGACGCAGCCAUGCCGCGUGAAUGAUGAAGGUCUUAGGAUUGUAAAAUUCUUUCAGCGGGGACGAUAAUGACGGUACCCGCAGAAGAAGCCCCGGCUAACUUCGUG
This 433-nucleotide ribosomal RNA is filed under the name uncultured bacterium. Its description in RNAcentral is "partial 16S ribosomal RNA". It matches the Rfam family "Bacterial small subunit ribosomal RNA", at positions 29 to 507 of the family's 1533-position model. The record is from RNAcentral.